GGUGGUAGCUUUUAGUACGUAAGCGCCAUGGAUGGCGAAUCGUGAAUGCUGCUACUAAGAACCGGCAGUAUUUUUGAAAGAUUUUCUACCUCC
Glossina morsitans morsitans is the source of this 93-nucleotide non-coding RNA. Lineage: Eukaryota; Metazoa; Arthropoda; Insecta; Diptera; Glossinidae. The record is from Rfam.